ACUCCUACGGGAGGCAGCAGUGGGGAAUAUUGCACAAUGGGCGCAAGCCUGAUGCAGCCAUGCCGCGUGUAUGAAGAAGGCCUUCGGGUUGUAAAGUACUUUCAGCAGUGAGGAAGGCGGAGUCGUUAAUAGCGGCCUCGUUUGUACGUUAGCUGCAGAAGAAGCACCGGCUAACUCCGUGCCAGCAGCCGCGGUAAUACGGAGGGUGCGAGCGUUAAUCGGAAUUACUGGGCGUAAAGCGCAUGCAGGUGGUUUGUUAAGUCAGAUGUGAAAGCCCGGGGCUCAACCUCGGAAUUGCAUUUGAAACUGGCAGACUAGAGUACUGUAGAGGGGGGUAGAAUUUCAGGUGUAGCGGUGAAAUGCGUAGAGAUCUGAAGGAAUACCGGUGGCGAAGGCGGCCCCCCUGGGACAGAUACUGACACUCAGAUGCGAAAAGCGUGGGGGAAGCAAACAGGAUUAGAUACCCUGGUAGGAUAGCG
RNAcentral lists this ribosomal RNA (479 nucleotides) under uncultured bacterium. RNAcentral's name for it is "bacterial SSU rRNA". It matches the Rfam family "Bacterial small subunit ribosomal RNA", at positions 335 to 799 of the family's 1533-position model. The record is from RNAcentral.